This 1285-nucleotide ribosomal RNA is filed under the name uncultured bacterium. RNAcentral's name for it is "partial 16S ribosomal RNA". It matches the Rfam family "Bacterial small subunit ribosomal RNA", at positions 93 to 1399 of the family's 1533-position model. The record is from RNAcentral.
AAGUGGCGGAUGGGUGAGUAACGCGUGGGCAACCUGCCCUAUACAGGGGGAUAACAAUGGGAAACCAUUGCUAAUACCCCAUAACACCUUUUACGGGCAUCCCUAAAAGGUCAAAGAAAUUCGGUAUAGGAUGGGCCCGCGUCUGAUUAGCUAGUUGGUGAGGUAAUGGCUCACCAAAGCAACGAUCAGUAGCCGGCCUGAGAGGGUGAACGGCCACACUGGAACUGAGACACGGUCCAGACUCCUACGGGAGGCAGCAGUGGGGAAUAUUGCACAAUGGGGGAAACCCUGAUGCAGCAACGCCGCGUGAGCGAUGAAGGUUUUCGAAUCGUAAAGCUCUGUCCUAAGGGAAGAUAAUGACGGUACCUUAGGAGGAAGCCCCGGCUAACUACGUGCCAGCAGCCGCGGUAACACGUAGGGGGCAAGCGUUAUCCGGAAUUAUUGGGCGUAAAGGGUGCGUAGGCGGCCCUAUGGGUCAGAGGUUAAAUGCUACGGCUUAACCGUAGCAUGCCUUUGAAACUAUAGGGCUUGAGUGCAGGAGAGGAGAGUGGAAUUCCUAGUGUAGCGGUGAAAUGCGUAGAUAUUAGGAGGAAUACCAGUGGCGAAGGCGACUCUCUGGACUGCAACUGACGCUAAGGCACGAAAGCGUGGGUAGCGAACAGGAUUAGAUACCCUGGUAGUCCACACUGUAAACCAUGAAAAGUCGCUGUCGGCGAUAACACAGUCGGGGGGGCAAGGAAAAACAUUAAGUUAUCCCCCCGGGGGAGUACGACCGCAAGGGUGAAACUCAAAGGAAUUGACGGGGGCCCGCCCCAGCGGAGGAACAUGUGGUUUAAUUCGAUGAUACGCGAGGAACCUUACCCGGGCUCGAACGGUGCAUGAAUAUACGAGAGAUUGUAUAGUCCUUCGGGACAUGUAUCGAGGUGGUGCAUGGUUGUCGUCAGCUCGUGCCGUGAGGUGUCGGCUUAAGUGCCAUAACGAGCGCAACCCUCGUCAUUAGUUGCCAUCAGGUCAAGCUGGGGACUUUAAUGAGACUGCCACCGUAAGGUGUGAGGAAGGGGGGGAGGACGUCAAAUCAGCACGGCCCUUAUGUCCGGGGCGACACACGUGUUACAAUGGGAGGUACAGAGGGCAGCUAUCCGGUGACGGAAUGAUAAUCUCCAAAACCUUUCUCAGUUCGGAUUGGAGUCUGCAACUCGACUCCAUGAAGGUGGAUUCGCUAGUAAUCGCGCAUCAGCCAUGGCGCGGUGAAUAAGUCCCCGGGCCUUGUACACACCGCCCGUCA